CCCUUAGAUGUUCUGGGCUGCACGCGCGCUACACUGAUGCGUUCAACGAGUGUAUCACCUUGCCCGAUAGGGUUGGGUAAUCUUUUGAACACGCAUCGUGAUGGGGAUAGAUUAUUGCAAUUAUUAAUCUUCAACGAGGAAUUCCUAGUAAUGAUGAAUCAUCAGUUCAUCGUGAUUACGUCCCUGCCCUUUGUACACACCGCCCGUCGCACCUACCGAUUGAAUGGUCCGGUGAAAUCUUCGGAUCUGAGAGAUGUCUGAUUAAUUUCGGACGCCUUUUGGAAAAGUUGUUUAAACCUUACCAUUUAGAGGAAGGUGAAGUCGUAACA
RNAcentral lists this ribosomal RNA (329 nucleotides) under uncultured eukaryote. RNAcentral describes it as "partial 18S ribosomal RNA". It matches the Rfam family "Eukaryotic small subunit ribosomal RNA", at positions 1470 to 1796 of the family's 1831-position model. The record is from RNAcentral.